This 2948-nucleotide long non-coding RNA is filed under the name Strongylocentrotus purpuratus (purple sea urchin). RNAcentral describes it as "succinate--CoA ligase [ADP-forming] subunit beta, mitochondrial". The record is from RNAcentral. Lineage: Eukaryota; Metazoa; Echinodermata; Echinoidea; Camarodonta; Strongylocentrotidae.
ACACAAGGUGGCGCUGCAAUUCUUGAAGAACACUUAGGCCUCAAAAUGGCAGCUUCCAUUUGGAAAUUCGGCAAACUUGUCUUGCCUAAAACGAGAGGAUCUCCUCGUCUUUUCAAGUCAUUGGAAUCGAGUUCAGUCCUCCCUCAGCAUGACCAGCAUAGAAACCUUUCCAUCCAUGAGUACAUGGGAUAUGAUCUACUAGAGGAAGCAGGCGUCCCUAUCCCUAGAGCCGAGGUGGCUACCACUGCACAGAGGGCUUAUGAGAUUGCCAAGAGCUUAGGGUCAGGAGAUGUCGUAGUCAAGGCCCAGGUGUUGGCCGGCGGGAGGGGGAAGGGCGCCUUCACCAGUGGUCUGAAGGGAGGGGUCAAGCUGGCCUUCUCACCGGAAGAGGUCAAAGAUCUGGCCUCCCAGAUGAUCGGCAACAAGCUGGUCACCAAGCAGACCGGUGAGGGAGGCAGGAUCUGUAACUCGGUUCUUGUUUGUGAGAGGAUGUAUGUCAGGAGAGAGUACUACUUUGCUAUCACAAUGGAAAGGGCAUUUAAUGGGCCAGUAUUGGUAGGCAGUUCACAGGGUGGUGUAAACAUCGAGGAUGUGGCAGCAGAGAGUCCAGAAGCAAUCAUCAAAGAACCCAUCGAUAUUGAAGCAGGUAUUCAGAGAUCACAGGCGGAAAAGAUGGCCAAACUCAUGGGCUUCCCCGACAGAGCUGUGGAACAGGCUGCAGAAACAUUUAUGAACCUGUAUAAUAAUAUCUUCAUAAAGUAUGAUGCUACCAUGCUCGAGAUCAACCCCCUGGUCGAAGACAGCGAAGGACAAGUACUGUGUAUGGACUCCAAGAUCAACUUUGAUGACAAUGCUUUGUUCAGACAAAAGAAGAUCCACGAUUUGAGAGACUGGUCCCAAGAAGAUGAGAGGGAGGUGUCAGCAGCGGAGUACAACCUCAACUACAUAGGUCUGGAUGGAGACAUCGGAUGUUUAGUAAAUGGAGCUGGAUUAGCUAUGUCAACCAUGGAUAUCAUUAAGCUUCAUGGAGGUACUCCUGCAAACUUCCUUGAUGUUGGAGGCGGAGCCACUGCUGACCAGGUCAAGCAGGCUUUCAAGCUCAUCACAUCGGAUAGCAAGGUUCAAGCCAUCAUGGUGAAUAUCUUUGGAGGCAUCAUGCAAUGUGACAUCAUAGCUCAGGGUAUCAUUGCCGCUGCCAAUGAACUCAAUCUCAAAGUACCCAUUGUCGUCAGGUUACAGGGAACCAUGGUUGACGAAGCUAAAGCAAUCAUUGCACAUAGUGAUCUCAGGAUACUGGCCUGUGAUGAUUUAGAUGAAGCAGCAAAGAUGGUCGUUAGAUUAUCCACCAUUGUAGGACUAGCAAAAGAUGCUCAUGUAGAUGUCAACUUCCAGUUGCCGUUGUGAGUGGGAAGUCGAAUGCACAAAUUUAGAGGGCCUAACCGCCUUUUAUUCAGAGAUAAGAAAGAAAAAAAAUCCUUGUUAUAUUGUUAUUCUUGAGUUUAUUUAGUAAAGUGAGUUAGUAUGUGUGUGUUUAUUUCCCAAUAAAGAAAACCACUUGUGCGUUUGCUUUAAGAAUGUCACAGUUUACUGAAAUGGACUAUACUCUUACCUCAUUUAUUGAUAUUAUUUGGGUAACGCAGUCUAAUUUUGUAGGUGCUGUGAUAUAACCCUGCACCUCCCACAAAAGGAUGAUCAUUUAAAAUAUUCAACAUUUUACGAACCAGAGGGACGUUUUCUCAUAUACUUUGACAUAGAGACAAAACCAUUCUGGCUUUUAAUAGACGACGUAUUACAUAUAUACAUCAUACAAGGUAAUUGAUACUUAAACAAGGUAAUGGCCAACUUUAUCCUGUCUAAAAGUGCUAACGGGUGUGUUAAUUUCAAAUAAUUUCCCUUGGGACGUCUGUUAAACUGCUGGAGAUCUCUCUGCUCUGUGUAAAUAGGUGGAUGGGUUUAUUGGUUGGUGGAAUACAGACUUAUGUCCACAAUUAGAUACCAUACAUAGGAAGCUAGACGGGCAUUAACUCCAUUUUGAAGGAUAUUACAUAACGAUCUUCUGGUUUCCAGUGGGCAGUACCUGUAUUCACUCAUUUGCUAUUUCAUACACACAUUUCCAAACUUAGAUAAUGCCUGUUCAGAGCAAAAAGGAUGCUAGAUCAUUUUUCAGGGUUAUUAGGUAACAAUUUCCUAGCUGUAAGUAGACAGUAAAGGUAGGGUUGUAUAGAUAUAUGAGAGUCAUAUAAUAGUAUAAGAGGUGUAGUGAGCAUAGAUCGAUACAACGGUUUGAGCUUGACUUUUCAUGAUGUGAUGUAACGUCCUUUUGCCGGUCGGCCCUAAUGAAAGAGUGAUCCAAGACACCUUGACCUUGAGAAAGAUGGAGACACAAACCAAACUUUGGCGCACAAAUUAUAAUUUAAUGCAGUCCAUCUCAAACAGGAACAAUACAAGGUAGUUUCACAGUAAAAUUACAAGGUGACAAGGCUUUGGAAUACUUAUACAGUGUCUAUUAUCCAUUGAAUAAAAGAAAUUUCUCUUUGAAUAUCAUCGCCAUCACAAACCCAGACAUGAUAUUACGUUACGGUCUGCCGAGAGACAGAAAUGCAUUGACGCUUUGAUUGAGAUAGAAACUAUACUUUGGGCUUAAGAAUGCACCCCAUCUCUUCUUUUGCAAAUAGAAGUCUGCAAUUUUCUCGUCAUCAGAGCCUUGUAAAUAGAUAAGAGAGAUAGCAUUCACAGUUUUAACUUAAUUUCUGUUUCUUUUCGACACCAAUGGUGCAAAUGACAGGAAAAUUAUAUAGUUCUGUACGUAUUGGUGAGAGGAUUGUUGUAAUAUGUUGUACAAGUUUGUUUUUUAAUGCACACGGUAUUGUGUGGGCAUAAUUGAUAUGCAACUUGUUAUUCAUAGGUGAAAUAUGAAUUAAAUGAAUUCUAACAUUAUAAAAGAUUCA